This 2921-nucleotide ribosomal RNA is filed under the name Staphylococcus aureus VET0323R. Its description in RNAcentral is "bacterial LSU rRNA". It matches the Rfam family "Bacterial large subunit ribosomal RNA". Lineage: Bacteria; Bacillati; Bacillota; Bacilli; Caryophanales; Staphylococcaceae. The record is from RNAcentral.
UUAAGUUAUUAAGGGCGCACGGUGGAUGCCUUGGCACUAGAAGCCGAUGAAGGACGUUACUAACGACGAUAUGCUUUGGGGAGCUGUAAGUAAGCUUUGAUCCAGAGAUUUCCGAAUGGGGAAACCCAGCAUGAGUUAUGUCAUGUUAUCGAUAUGUGAAUACAUAGCAUAUCAGAAGGCACACCCGGAGAACUGAAACAUCUUAGUACCCGGAGGAAGAGAAAGAAAAUUCGAUUCCCUUAGUAGCGGCGAGCGAAACGGGAAGAGCCCAAACCAACAAGCUUGCUUGUUGGGGUUGUAGGACACUCUAUACGGAGUUACAAAGGACGACAUUAGACGAAUCAUCUGGAAAGAUGAAUCAAAGAAGGUAAUAAUCCUGUAGUCGAAAAUGUUGUCUCUCUUGAGUGGAUCCUGAGUACGACGGAGCACGUGAAAUUCCGUCGGAAUCUGGGAGGACCAUCUCCUAAGGCUAAAUACUCUCUAGUGACCGAUAGUGAACCAGUACCGUGAGGGAAAGGUGAAAAGCACCCCGGAAGGGGAGUGAAAUAGAACCUGAAACCGUGUGCUUACAAGUAGUCAGAGCCCGUUAAUGGGUGAUGGCGUGCCUUUUGUAGAAUGAACCGGCGAGUUACGAUUUGAUGCAAGGUUAAGCAGUAAAUGUGGAGCCGUAGCGAAAGCGAGUCUGAAUAGGGCGUUUAGUAUUUGGUCGUAGACCCGAAACCAGGUGAUCUACCCUUGGUCAGGUUGAAGUUCAGGUAACACUGAAUGGAGGACCGAACCGACUUACGUUGAAAAGUGAGCGGAUGAACUGAGGGUAGCGGAGAAAUUCCAAUCGAACCUGGAGAUAGCUGGUUCUCUCCGAAAUAGCUUUAGGGCUAGCCUCAAGUGAUGAUUAUUGGAGGUAGAGCACUGUUUGGACGAGGGGCCCCUCUCGGGUUACCGAAUUCAGACAAACUCCGAAUGCCAAUUAAUUUAACUUGGGAGUCAGAACAUGGGUGAUAAGGUCCGUGUUCGAAAGGGAAACAGCCCAGACCACCAGCUAAGGUCCCAAAAUAUAUGUUAAGUGGAAAAGGAUGUGGCGUUGCCCAGACAACUAGGAUGUUGGCUUAGAAGCAGCCAUCAUUUAAAGAGUGCGUAAUAGCUCACUAGUCGAGUGACACUGCGCCGAAAAUGUACCGGGGCUAAACAUAUUACCGAAGCUGUGGAUUGUCCUUUGGACAAUGGUAGGAGAGCGUUCUAAGGGCGUUGAAGCAUGAUCGUAAGGACAUGUGGAGCGCUUAGAAGUGAGAAUGCCGGUGUGAGUAGCGAAAGACGGGUGAGAAUCCCGUCCACCGAUUGACUAAGGUUUCCAGAGGAAGGCUCGUCCGCUCUGGGUUAGUCGGGUCCUAAGCUGAGGCCGACAGGCGUAGGCGAUGGAUAACAGGUUGAUAUUCCUGUACCACCUAUAAUCGUUUUAAUCGAUGGGGGGACGCAGUAGGAUAGGCGAAGCGUGCGAUUGGAUUGCACGUCUAAGCAGUAAGGCUGAGUAUUAGGCAAAUCCGGUACUCGUUAAGGCUGAGCUGUGAUGGGGAGAAGACAUUGUGUCUUCGAGUCGUUGAUUUCACACUGCCGAGAAAAGCCUCUAGAUAGAAAAUAGGUGCCCGUACCGCAAACCGACACAGGUAGUCAAGAUGAGAAUUCUAAGGUGAGCGAGCGAACUCUCGUUAAGGAACUCGGCAAAAUGACCCCGUAACUUCGGGAGAAGGGGUGCUCUUUAGGGUUAACGCCCAGAAGAGCCGCAGUGAAUAGGCCCAAGCGACUGUUUAUCAAAAACACAGGUCUCUGCUAAACCGUAAGGUGAUGUAUAGGGGCUGACGCCUGCCCGGUGCUGGAAGGUUAAGAGGAGUGGUUAGCUUCUGCGAAGCUACGAAUCGAAGCCCCAGUAAACGGCGGCCGUAACUAUAACGGUCCUAAGGUAGCGAAAUUCCUUGUCGGGUAAGUUCCGACCCGCACGAAAGGCGUAACGAUUUGGGCACUGUCUCAACGAGAGACUCGGUGAAAUCAUACUACCUGUGAAGAUGCAGGUUACCCGCGACAGGACGGAAAGACCCCGUGGAGCUUUACUGUAGCCUGAUAUUGAAAUUCGGCACAGCUUGUACAGGAUAGGUAGGAGCCUUUGAAACGUGAGCGCUAGCUUACGUGGAGGCGCUGGUGGGAUACUACCCUAGCUGUGUUGGCUUUCUAACCCGCACCACUUAUCGUGGUGGGAGACAGUGUCAGGCGGGCAGUUUGACUGGGGCGGUCGCCUCCUAAAAGGUAACGGAGGCGCUCAAAGGUUCCCUCAGAAUGGUUGGAAAUCAUUCAUAGAGUGUAAAGGCAUAAGGGAGCUUGACUGCGAGACCUACAAGUCGAGCAGGGUCGAAAGACGGACUUAGUGAUCCGGUGGUUCCGCAUGGAAGGGCCAUCGCUCAACGGAUAAAAGCUACCCCGGGGAUAACAGGCUUAUCUCCCCCAAGAGUUCACAUCGACGGGGAGGUUUGGCACCUCGAUGUCGGCUCAUCGCAUCCUGGGGCUGUAGUCGGUCCCAAGGGUUGGGCUGUUCGCCCAUUAAAGCGGUACGCGAGCUGGGUUCAGAACGUCGUGAGACAGUUCGGUCCCUAUCCGUCGUGGGCGUAGGAAAUUUGAGAGGAGCUGUCCUUAGUACGAGAGGACCGGGAUGGACAUACCUCUGGUGUACCAGUUGUCGUGCCAACGGCAUAGCUGGGUAGCUAUGUGUGGACGGGAUAAGUGCUGAAAGCAUCUAAGCAUGAAGCCCCCCUCAAGAUGAGAUUUCCCAACUUCGGUUAUAAGAUCCCUCAAAGAUGAUGAGGUUAAUAGGUUCGAGGUGGAAGCAUGGUGACAUGUGGAGCUGACGAAUACUAAUCGAUCGAAGACUUAAUCAA